This 622-nucleotide ribosomal RNA is filed under the name Inocybe flocculosa. RNAcentral's name for it is "eukaryotic LSU rRNA". It matches the Rfam family "Eukaryotic large subunit ribosomal RNA", at positions 1 to 619 of the family's 3401-position model. The record is from RNAcentral. Lineage: Eukaryota; Fungi; Basidiomycota; Agaricomycetes; Agaricales; Inocybaceae.
UUGACCUCAAAUCAGGUAGGACUACCCGCUGAACUUAAGCAUAUCAAUAAGCGGAGGAAAAGAAACUAACAAGGAUUCCCCUAGUAACUGCGAGUGAAGCGGGAAGAGCUCAAAUUUGAAAUCUGGCGGUCCUUGGCCGUCCGAGUUGUAAUCUAGAGAAGUGCUACCUGUGCUGGACCGUGUACAAGUCUCCUGGAAUGGAGCAUCGCAGAGGGUGAGAAUCCCGUCUUUGACACGGACUGCCAUGUACGUCAUGGUGCGCUCUCGAAGAGUCGAGUUGUUUGGGAAUGCAGCUCAAAAUGGGUGGUAAAUGCCAUCUAAAGCUAAAUAUUGGCGAGAGACCGAUAGCGAACAAGUACCGUGAGGGAAAGAUGAAAAGAACUUUGGAAAGAGAGUUAAACAGUACGUGAAAUUGCUGAAAGGGAAACGCUUGAAGUCAGUCGCGUCGGCCAGAAAUCAGCCUUUGCUUUUGCUUGGUGUACUUUCUUGGUUGAUGGGUCAGCAUCAAUUUCGACCGUCGGAUAAAGUCGUCGGGAAUGUGGCAUCUUCGGAUGUGUUAUAGCCCGGCGUCGCAUACGGUGGUUGGGAUUGAGGAACUCAGCACGCCGAAAGGCCGGGUCUC